GAUGAACGCUGGCGGCGUGCUUAACACAUGCAAGUCGAACGGGAUCCAUCAGGCUUUGCUUGGUGGUGAGAGUGGCGAACGGGUGAGUAAUGCGUGACCGACCUGCCCCAUACACCGGAAUAGCUCCUGGAAACGGGUGGUAAUGCCGGAUGCUCCAGUUGAUCGCAUGGUCUUCUGGGAAAGCUUUCGCGGUAUGGGAUGGGGUCGCGUCCUAUCAGCUUGACGGCGGGGUAACGGCCCACCGUGGCUUCGACGGGUAGCCGGCCUGAGAGGGCGACCGGCCACAUUGGGACUGAGAUACGGCCCAGACUCCUACGGGAGGCAGCAGUGGGGAAUAUUGCACAAUGGGCGCAAGCCUGAUGCAGCGACGCCGCGUGAGGGAUGGAGGCCUUCGGGUUGUAAACCUCUUUUAUCGGGGAGCAAGCGAGAGUGAGUUUACCCGUUGAAU
Molecule: ribosomal RNA, 448 nt
Filed under: uncultured bacterium
Lineage: Bacteria
Description: bacterial SSU rRNA
Rfam family: Bacterial small subunit ribosomal RNA
Source: RNAcentral